Molecule: ribosomal RNA, 484 nt
Filed under: uncultured bacterium
Lineage: Bacteria
Description: partial 16S ribosomal RNA
Rfam family: Bacterial small subunit ribosomal RNA
Source: RNAcentral
AUUGAACGCUGGCGGCAGGCCUAACACAUGCAAGUCGAGCGGAUGAAGGGAGCUUGCUCCUGGAUUCAGCGGCGGACGGGUGAGUAAUUCCUAGGAAUCUGCCUGGUAGUGGGGGAUAACGUCCGGAAACGGGCGCUAAUACCGCAUACGUCCUGAGGGAGAAAGUGGGGGAUCUUCGGACCUCACGCUAUCAGAUGAGCCUAGGUCGGAUUAGCUAGUUGGUGGGGUAAAGGCCUACCAAGGCGACGAUCCGUAACUGGUCUGAGAGGAUGAUCAGUCACACUGGAACUGAGACACGGUCCAGACUCCUACGGGAGGCAGCAGUGGGGAAUAUUGGACAAUGGGCGAAAGCAUGAUCCAGCCAUGCCGCGUGUGUGAAGAAGGUCUUCGGAUUGUAAAGCACUUUAAGUUGGGAGGAAGGGCAGUAAGUUAAUACCUUGCUGUUUUGACGUUACCAACAGAAUAAGCACCGGCUAACUUCGUG